This 406-nucleotide ribosomal RNA is filed under the name uncultured bacterium. Its description in RNAcentral is "partial 16S ribosomal RNA". It matches the Rfam family "Bacterial small subunit ribosomal RNA", at positions 30 to 526 of the family's 1533-position model. The record is from RNAcentral.
AUUGAACGCUGGCGGCAAGCCUAACACAUGCAAGUCGAACGAGUGGCGGACGGGUGAGUAAUGUCUGGGAAACUGCCUGAUGGAGGGGGAUAACUACUGGAAACGGUAGCUAAUACCGCAUACCAUCGGAUGUGCCCAGAUGGGAUUAUCUGGUGGGUGGGGUAAAGGCUCACCUAGGCGACGAUCCCUAGCUGGUCUGAGAGGAUGACCAGCCACACUGGAACUGAGCAACGGUCCAGACUCCUACGGGAGGCAGCAGUGGGGAAUAUUGGACAAUGGGCGAAAGCCUGAUCCAGCCAUGCCGCGGGUGUGAAGAAGGUCUUCGGAUUGUAAAGCACUUUAAGUUGGGAGGCGUUACCAACAGAAUAAGCACCGGCUAACUUCGUGCCAGCAGCCGCGGUAAUUC